GUCUGUGGCCAUACCACCCUGAACAAGCCCAAUCUUGUUGAUUCUCGGAAGCUAAAUAGGGUUGGGCCUGGUUAUUACUUGGAUGGGAAACCACCUAGGAAGACCAGGUGCUAUAGGCA
This 119-nucleotide ribosomal RNA is filed under the name Pteropus alecto (black flying fox). The record is from RNAcentral. Lineage: Eukaryota; Metazoa; Chordata; Mammalia; Chiroptera; Pteropodidae.